AGUCCGCAACGAGCGCAACCCUUGUCAUUAGUUGCUACCAAAGGGCACUCUAAUGAGACUGCAGGGGACAAACCGGAGGAAGGGGGGGAGGAGGUCAAGUCCUCAUGGCCCUUACCUGUGGGGCUACACACCUCAUACAAUGGAUGGUACAAAGGGUUGCCAACCCGCGAGGGGGAGCGAAUCCCAUAAAGCCAAUCCUAGUCCGGAUCGCAUUCUGCAACUCGACUGCGUGAAGUCGGAAUCGCUACUAAUCGAGUAUCAGCAUGUCACGGUGAAUACGUUCCCGGGUC
This 290-nucleotide ribosomal RNA is filed under the name uncultured bacterium. Its description in RNAcentral is "partial 16S ribosomal RNA". It matches the Rfam family "Bacterial small subunit ribosomal RNA", at positions 1083 to 1380 of the family's 1533-position model. The record is from RNAcentral.